GGGCCAAGCCAGCAGGAAACCUCCUCGUCAUGCUCCAAUCCCAACCCCAAUCCCUGGAUCCGAUCUCACAAUACCUGGGGCAGGCGGAGGCCGCCGCCGUUGUGCUCCUCCUGCCGCUCACCCCGACCACCACUGCGGCAACGAUGACGACAAGGAUGGAGACAAGGCGGCAGCGCCGUCUCCAGUGCAAUCCGGAGCGCGCCGUCCACGCCGCCGAACCGGCUAUCCUGUGAACCUCUCGGUCCACAUCAUUCAUGCUUGGCUUCCCACCAUUGAUCGACUUCGCCUUUCCCGUCCCGAUGCAGCGACCGCCCGCCCGCGUGCCCUGGACCUUCCGCCGGCUCCCGGAUCCAUCUGCCUCUUGCAGCCGUCGCCAGCCCCCUUCUACCUCGAGAUUUAAAUUAAAUACUACUAAAGAUAGGUCUAGGCCAAACGAGGCAGCAGAGUCCGUUUCUGGUGAGAAACGGGGUGGAGACGAUGCAGGAGAGGGCAAGAGAUAGAGCGAGAGUGGAGUCGUCGGAGCUGCCGAUGUGGGGUAAAACGGAGAUCACCGGCGGGGAUUUCUCGAGGCUGCACCACCGAAUCAAAAUCCUAGGCGCCGUGAAUGUGGCCAGGUUUGAUUGGCUAACUAAGGAGUGCUGGGAAGGUGGGGAAGAUGCACGUGUCGCGACGGUGCAUCGGAAAUUGGCGAAGGCUCGUCUCGGCAAACAAGAAGCUAUGGAUACAUGCGCGUCUAGCCGCAAGCCAUCUUCAUUGUUGUUCAUGGAGUCCAACAGUAUUCUACACACGAAUGACAUCCAUUGAGGAGAUCUCUUAAAUAGCAUCGGAUGCCACACAAGCCUGAUGGCUAAUGUUUCCGCUCCGUUGACGACCCCCACCGACGCCUCCAAUGACAUAAGAUUUGUUCUCCCUGGUGCAAAAUCAGACAGAUUCUCUAUGGACAAGAAUCUGGGAAAAAAAAGGAUCCCUCCCCUACUGAAUUAUGUAUGUUAAGAUCAACACGGAAAAUUUCUAUUUCUAUAAAUAUCUUUAGUCUA
Long non-coding RNA from Lolium perenne, 1037 nucleotides. RefSeq lists it as uncharacterized. NCBI's taxonomy places the organism in Eukaryota, Viridiplantae, Streptophyta, Magnoliopsida, Poales, Poaceae. The record is from RefSeq and is a predicted model, not a curated record.